This 263-nucleotide ribosomal RNA is filed under the name uncultured bacterium. RNAcentral's name for it is "partial 16S ribosomal RNA". It matches the Rfam family "Bacterial small subunit ribosomal RNA", at positions 74 to 339 of the family's 1533-position model. The record is from RNAcentral.
GGGUGCUUGCACCUGGUGGCGAGUGGCGAACGGGUGAGUAAUACAUCGGAACGUACCUUAUCGUGGGGGAUAACGCAGCGAAAGUUGCGCUAAUACCGCAUACGCCCUGAGGGGGAAAGCGGGGGACCGUAAGGCCUCGCGCGAUUAGAGCGGCCGAUGUCUGAUUAGCUUGUUGGUGAGGUAAAAGCUCACCAAGGCGAUGAUCAGUAGCUGGUCUGAGAGGACGAUCAGCCACACUGGGACUGAGACACGGCCCAGACUCC